RNAcentral lists this ribosomal RNA (230 nucleotides) under uncultured bacterium. RNAcentral describes it as "partial 16S ribosomal RNA". It matches the Rfam family "Bacterial small subunit ribosomal RNA", at positions 111 to 334 of the family's 1533-position model. The record is from RNAcentral.
UAACACGUAGGUAACCUGCCCAUGUGUCCGGGAUAACUGCUGGAAACGGUAGCUAAAACCGGAUAGGUAUACAGAGUGCAUGCUCAGUAUAUUAAAGCGCCCUUCAAGGCGUGAACAUGGAUGGACCUGCGGCGCAUUAGCUAGUUGGUGAGGUAACGGCCCACCAAGGCGAUGAUGCGUAGCCGGCCUGAGAGGGUAAACGGCCACAUUGGGACUGAGACACGGCCCAA